RNAcentral lists this ribosomal RNA (427 nucleotides) under uncultured bacterium. Its description in RNAcentral is "bacterial SSU rRNA". It matches the Rfam family "Bacterial small subunit ribosomal RNA", at positions 355 to 774 of the family's 1533-position model. The record is from RNAcentral.
UGGGGAAUUUUGGACAAUGGGCGAAAGCCUGAUCCAGCAAUGCCGCGUGCAGGAUGAAGGCCUUCGGGUUGUAAACUGCUUUUGUACGGAACGAAAAAGCUUCUCCUAAUACGAGAGGCCCAUGACGGUACCGUAAGAAUAAGCACCGGCUAACUACGUGCCAGCAGCCGCGGUAAUACGUAGGGUGCGCGCGUUAAUCGGAAUUACUGGGCGUAAAGCGUGCGCAGGCGGUUAUGUAAGACAGAUGUGAAAUCCCCGGGCUCAACCUGGGACCUGCAUUUGUGACUGCAUAGCUAGAGUGCGGCAGAGGGGGAUGGAAUUCCGCGUGUAGCAGUGAAAUGCGUAGAUAUGCGGAGGAACACCGAUGGCGAAGGCAAUCCCCUGGGCCUGUACUGACGCUCAUGCGCGAAAGCGUGGGGAGCAAACA